This 2441-nucleotide long non-coding RNA is filed under the name Phoenix dactylifera (date palm). Its description in RNAcentral is "long non-coding RNA (PDAC_LNC005032)". The record is from RNAcentral. Lineage: Eukaryota; Viridiplantae; Streptophyta; Magnoliopsida; Arecales; Arecaceae.
AGGGAGGAGGAGGAGGAGGGGGAGGAGGUCGGCCAGCCGCCGAGGAAGAGAAAAGGGGAAAUAUCUGUAGGUUUUUAUUUCUAAAUCGGGCCUAAAAUUCUGGGCUUAGGAGACUAUCGGGCCGAAAACUUAAUAAGGCCCGCAUAAAAAUCGGGCCAGGCUCCGCAAGACAGGCUUUUCUUUUCCUCCAGUCUAUCCUCUAGUUGUUGUUGUUAUUAUUAUUAUUAUUAUUAUUAUUAUUUUACUGAAACAAAAAGGAAAGUAGGGAGGAAGGAACAAGCCUACCUUCGCGUAGCAAAACUAUGCGCUUUCUUUUACUUGUUUUUGCGGAGGGAGAGUGUUACAUGGAGGAAGGCAAGUCUCAAAAGAAAAAACAAUUACACUCUAAACAAAACUACAAUCAUAAGACUUGGCAGCCAUCAAAUAAGUUAAAUGAGGGGGAAGAAUUUCCAUUCUCCAGCACUGGCCUUCAGCAGCAACACCAGCAUUUUCUCACCAAUUGGCUGAUUGGUUACCUUUCCCAAAUAUAUGUGUUACUUCGGAUGCCUGUGAAGCCUUUUUAAUCCACCAUAUGUCCAAUGAACUACUUUAAUAAGCAUAUCCCUCUCAAUCUAGACUUGAGAAGCUUUAUAGAUGUAGAUUUAUGCAUACAAUCAUCAUCUUAAUUCGUCAUUUAGAGUAUGUUUGGAUGAUUAGGCUAAAAAUUCUAUAAAAUUUAUGGGUUGGGUUAGUACAACUUACAGCAAAAUUAUAGAAAUAUAGAUUGGGUUAGGUUUAUAUUCAUAAAUAUCCAGAAGUAGCUUUGGAGUAGGCCGGUCCGUAUCCCAUAGGAAGAAAAAAAAAUAUUUUUACUAAUUGUACUGGUCUGACUCAUGAAGCGUAUAGGAUUUUCAGCUCAAUCAUCCAACCAAGCCAGGUUUUAAAAGCAACAUGAAUCAGCUAUACUUGAAUGGUAUCCGGUAAUAUUAGGGGUGGCAAUCAGGUCGGGUCGGGUCAUAAACGGGUCGGGUCACAUGCAAGUCGGGUCAGAAAAUCAUAAACCUGAACCCGACCUGUUUAUUAAACAGGUCAGAAACUACAACCUGAACCUGACCUGUUUAAUAAACAGGUAAUCCGACCCGAUCUGUUUAACCUGUUUAAUAAACAGGUAAUAUAUUCCAAUCCGACCCGACCAGUCAAAACAACUAGAUGAAAAACAAAAAAGAACCAAAAACAAGUGCUAAAUAAUUCACGAACCCAAUUUUCUGGUCACCUGUCGAAGACUCGAAGCCAGUCUAUCCAUCAUCCAAGUAAGGCUGCAAAUGGGUCGGGUCGACCCGAGACCCGAUCCGGCCCGACCCGUGUGGACCCGACCCGACCCGAAUUUUAGGACCCGCGGGUCCGGGUCGGGUCCUAAAAUUGGACCCGAAUCAUUUUAUGGGUCGGGUCUGGGUUUACCGAACGGACCCGACCCGACCCGAAUAGACCCGAAGAGAAAAAGAGAGGGGAAAAAAAAGCAAAAAAGAGUUUUUUUUCUUUUUUUUGUAUGGGUCGUGGUAUUAUUGAUCCGUCUGGAUCCUCUCUCGAUCUAUUAUAUUGUUGAUACCUCAAGUGUCUCGGUAGCUUGCUUUUUUUUUCCUUCUAUUUUUUUGUUUCUGUUUUUUUUAACUUUUGCAGGGGUGAAGUGUGGGAACACUCAACUGAAUAUGGGUCAUGUGCCAGUUUUCUGCAAUGGAAUUGGAUUUUGGAAGAAGGUCUGGGAUUUUUUUAGUCUUCGUGAGAGGGGAGCUGGGAGACACCAAGUUCCGUCCAAUCAGUCAUAUGGACAAAAAAUAGUGCGAUAUGAAAUUUGGCUUGUAGACCGACUUACUUAGUAAGUCCGGGGCCAUUAUUCUGGCUGGAGGUCAAUUGCAAGUCUUUCAAGUCAUGGGUCACCCAGCACCUCAUAAUUAUGAUGUGACUAAAUUAGAUUUGUCCAAAUUAUUUCCUAAAAGCAUAAAAAAAUUAGACCCGCUUCGGACCCGAACCCGACCCGACUCGGACCCGGACCCGAUCCGGACCCGACACGGACCCGACCCGACCCGACCCGAUCUUCAACCGGGUCGGGUCUGGGUCCAAAAUUAGGACCCGAACAAAAAAUCGGGUCGGAUCGGGGUCACCCAGGACCCGACCCGACCCGACCCAUUUGCACCCCUAAAAANNNNNNNNNNNNNNNNNNNNACCCGACCCAUUUGCACCCCUACAUCCAAGCAUGCGAUUGCACGGGAUAAGAGCAAAAUCUUGAGGGGAAAAAAAAAGGCGAAAGCAAUCUAGAAGGAUUGCCAAUUUAAUUCAAUAAACCAGCUUUCCGAUACUCAAGCCCCAGUUCUCAAAAAUCCAGUCAUCCACACACAAUAGAUCAUCAGAAAUUCAGAGAAAAAAUAGAUAACCACGGAGAUGAGAGAUGAGAUGAGGAAUCGUGC